UGUUGAAAACCACGAAACAUUAGGGUAGUAAACAGUCUUUUACCCUAAAAAUAAAUACAAAUCAUCGCUUUAGGUUUGAGCCUUGAACAUGCCCAAUGUUUAUUCUCAGUCCAAAUAAAAGUAGUGCAAAUUCAAAAGCCGAACUGCAUGUAUAAGUCAAGUGUUAGGUUCAAGGUAGCAGCAGCUUUGGAUACCUGAGAUAUAUGUGAUAGGUUGCAAGACAACUUUGUAGUUAAUGAUUCAAUCAAUGAAGUUCUAAACUUGUAAUGAUGCACAUGCUGUUUUUGAUGAAAGUGCCCUGUAAAUUUAGAAUUUCGAUAGUUAGUGGGCCAUUUAAUGACAACGAAAGAGCCCAAUAGAGCCGCUUUAAAUCCAGAUCUAAACAGAGGGGUAAUUUUGUAACUUCAUUUGAAACCCUAAGUUGGUAACGCUAUAUAAUGAUGGUUAGAGAUGGUGAAACCGAUCAGACGGCAGCCUUCCUCUCCUAUCCUCUCCUCUUUGUCCCUUUUCUCUCUCCCAACACAAAUCUCUCUCCAAUGCCGUGUACAGAAAAAAAAUUGUGUUGAGGCCUUAACAGCCUAAGAAAUUGAAAACAAAUAUGAUAUCAAAUACUCAUCCUCAGAAAUUGAUAACAAGCAAAUUUGUAUCAUUUGAUAUUAUGCUUGUUUUCGGUUUCUGUGUUUGCACAUUUGAUGCUAUGCUUGUUCUCUAUUUCAGAAGUUGUGGAUCUGAAAUUUUUUUCCUUGUAUCAGCUUUUUACAUUUUUUAUUAUAUUUAUUUGUUUUUACAUGCUCUUAUUACUCGUUCAGAUCGGCGGGGAGUCGAGGACUCUGGACCGUAGAACUAUCCAGAUCGGACGGAUCGUGAGUGAGAUUUAGUCUCUUAUAAAUAUAGGCGCAGUAAAUUUCAGGAACCGUAACAAAUGUUACAAAUCGAUCCCGCGCAUUCGGUCCUGUGCAAGAACUCGCGCAUUCGCUCUUGCAUCUCUCGCAUUCGUUCGCGCAUUCGAUCUCCUUUGACAUGGUAGAUCCCUCUCUCCUCUCUCCCUCGCCUCUCUCUCCCUUCCUCCCUGACGUGCUAUGCUAUUUGAUUUAGGAUUUAGGUUAUUUUGUUUUGCUAAUUAGGUGUCUGCAAUUGUCGCUGCUAUUUUGCGUUGGGUGGCAUCUGCUUUUGAUGCGAUCGAUUUCGAUCCCCUCGCAAGGCACAUGUAAGAUUACCUGUUGAAUUCUUUUUGGAUAUCUUAUAUUUUCAACCUUAUCAGAUCUAAUUUGAUAUUUAAUUUGGACUGAGUUCUAAUGCAAAUUGGAAUUUUUAUCGCAUUUCAGAUGAAAAAACUGAACUUAAUUGUUUUGAUGUUAAAUGUGACAUGUUUUUUAUUUAUCAGAUUGACAUGACAUCUUCAGGAUUUUUUAUUGUUUUGUUUAGACUUGUUUUUAGCAUAUGAUAUCUAAGCGAAGUAUCUUUUUUUAGGUACUACGUGAUCGGUGUCAUCGUUUGUCCUUGCUGUUUCUAUCGUUGUCCUUGCUGUUGCUGUUAUGUGGAGGGUUUUUCGAGCCCCCAACUCUAAAUUUUUUGAUUGUCUCUAGCCUUUCCUAGGGCCGUUUUCAGCGGUAUCUGCGUUUGCUUAGAGGUGUAGUCAAACUCUACAGAUAUGGGUGCACAACCAUUGUUUCCUUAAUUCCAAAUACCAUAUCCCUGCUAUGCCAGUCUCUUUCUGCAGAUUCUUUUUUCGCAGGUUUUCUAGUAAGUUGUUCCCACUCUCAUUUUCUAUUCAUUUGUUGAUAUCUAGGUUCUGACUUUUAUUUUUGUUAUUUUAGUUUACGAUAGUCGUAGUUGUUGCCACUAUCAUUGGACAUUUAGGGUCUCAAUUGGCUUUUCCUGCCCCUACCCGAUCUAUUUCCGCUUCACGAGCAACAGGACCUUUCGGAAGAAUGGCUAGUAGCCCGCGAAGCGCAACUGGAUAAACACUGCAACCGGUUUUGAGGUUCCUGCGGAACGUGCCUAGUUGCUAGCGAAUUGCAGGUGUCGUGGUGGUGGCUGGAGCUGCAGGGGUUGCAUUAAGGAAUCCUAUACAUACUACAUAGCCACCGCUUUCACUUAUGCUUGGCAUCCAGCCGCUUGUUGGAGCUAAAGAAGCCAUCAACGAUGCAAUUCUUGGGAUCGGACUCUUCCUCCUCAGCUGUGCAGUCAGGUCUCAACAGCCAAAUGGAACCAACAGUGCCAUACUUCAAAGAGCCCAUGGUGCAGCAGCUUCCCAGCCCAGUUGAAAAUAUGAACUUUUUGCUCCCAUUUCCUGGCUUCCCAACAAUUCCCAAAAUCCCUUCAAUUCCCCCAUUCCCAUUCCCAUUCCCAACCAUGCCUUCAGUUAAUAAUCCUUUUGCUCCUCUACGGCCACCAGUGCUGGCUAAGAUUUCAGACCCAGUGAUUCCAACCAAGGAGGCAACAACCACCCCAUGAAUUACCUUUGUUGUAGGCACGGCAAUUUCUUUUUUUUUUUUACUACUCCUAGCAAGCUAGUUCAUAUUGUGUGUUCUCAAAUUGCAGCUUGAUUUAGUGAUGAUUCACCUUUUUUUUCCUUUCAAUGUUUUAGAGAUGAUGUUAACUUCAUCUUUUUAGCUAUAAUGCACUCAAUCUAUUGAUGACUCAUUGUUCCUCAAUUACUCAUACCACAGGCUGAUAUCAUAAGUACUUUUUUCAA
Malus domestica (apple) is the source of this 2698-nucleotide non-coding RNA. Lineage: Eukaryota; Viridiplantae; Streptophyta; Magnoliopsida; Rosales; Rosaceae. The record is from RefSeq and is a predicted model, not a curated record.